This 2913-nucleotide ribosomal RNA is filed under the name Prillingera fragicola. Its description in RNAcentral is "bacterial LSU rRNA". It matches the Rfam family "Bacterial large subunit ribosomal RNA". The record is from RNAcentral. Lineage: Eukaryota; Fungi; Basidiomycota; Tremellomycetes; Trichosporonales; Trichosporonaceae.
AGCAUGACAUAAUAUGGAUAUUUAGGUGUAAGUAAUCAAAGUGAUUGUUAAGGAUGCCUAGCAAACAUUUAUUUAAAGGAGGUGGAAACAUCUAAAGCUAUUAUCUUGUAAUAUAUAAUUGAUACGAUUUUAUUAUAUAUAAAUAUAGUAUGAGAAAGUUUUAUACUUGAUAGCGUUCCUAAGGAAAACCUUGUCUAUAUUAACGCAGUGAACUGAAACAUCUAAGUAACUGUAGGAAAGGAAAUCAACCGAGACUCCAUAAGUAGUGGCGAGCGAACAUGGAUUAGCCAAGAAGUAAUAUUAUUAUAGAAUAUUUUGGAAAAAAUAUCCCGUAGAAGGUGACAGUCCUGUAUAUGAUAAUAUGAUAUAAUAUAUCAACUAUAUUAAAUUAAAUAUUAUAUUUUAUUUCAAUAAUAAAUUAAGGUGGAAGAAAAUCUGCUGUAACGUUGGGGAACCAUCCUCAAAGGCUAAGUAAUAAAUGUUUAGCAAUAGUGAAAAGUAGCGUGAGCGAAAGGUGAAAAGUAAGUCGAUGACUGAUGAAAUAGAAUCUGAAUUAGCAAUCAUACAAGCAAUUAAAGCAAAUCUAUUUUUUUAAACGUAUUAAUAAGAUUGUAAUAAUGUACCUUUUGUAUAAUGGGUUAGCGAGUUAAUAAUAGUAGCAAGGUUAAUAACCCUAGCGAAAGCGACUAACAUAAAAUGUGUGGUAUUAGUUACUAUUUUUAGACCCGAAACGUGGUGAUCUAUCCAUGACCAGAUUAGUAAAUAGAUCGAAUGGUUCAAUGUUGCAGUAUUGUCCAAUGAGUUGUGGAUUGUCGGUGAAAGGCCAAUCUGACCACGAUAUAGCUGGUACUCCUCGAAACAUAUUUAGGUAUGACUCUUUGUAAUUUUAGAUUUAUGCGGGUACAGCACUGAUUACUAUACUAAGUUCUUUUUGAAUAAGGUUUAAUUGGGGGGUUGUGAAAGCCCUAUCAUUGGUAAUUAACCUCGGAAACAACAUAAUAUUGAUACGAAGAUUUCAGACUGCUCAUGAUAAGGUGGGUAGUCGAGACGGAAACAGCCGUGAACAUAGAAUAAGGUCCCAAAGUGAUGAUUAAGUGAAAUUAAGGAAGUGGUAUUUCUAAUACAACUAUAAAGUGAGCUCGGUAGUGGCUAUCUUUUAAUGAAAGUGUAACAACUUAGUAGUCUAAUGAAAUACCGCACCGAAGAUAUACGGGUCUUAGAUCAUCCACCGAAACUAUGUCAUUAAAUUAUUUAAAAAUAUUAUAAAAAAAAUAAUAUAAUAUAAAAUUCAAUAAAAAAGAUCAGAUAGAUCAAUAUUUUUAAAUAUUUUAAUUGAGUAGAGGAGCAUUCAGUAUGGUAGAAGAAUAGUGUUUCAUUAUUUGGACAUAACUGAAGAGAUUAUGCUAACAUGAGUAACGUAGAAAGAAGAUAUAAAUCUUCUCGCCGAAUACGAAAGGGUUUCAAAGAAAUGUUAAACAGCUUUGAUUGAAAUCGGUCUCUAAAAUAUGUCAGCUAAUGCUGAUAAUUGAUGAGUUAUUAGUUGAAAGUCUUUGACCUAGAAAUAAUAUUAAGAAAUUACCGUACCCUAAACCGACACAGGUUCGUAGGUACAGAAUACUAAGGCGUAGAGAUAAUACUGUUUAAGGAACUCGGCAAAAUACGCCAGUACACUUGAUAAUAAAGGCGACCUAAUAGUUAUAUUUAUAUAUAACUUAGGUGACACAUAAUCGUGAAGCACAACUGUUUAACAAAAACACAGGUAUCUGCUAUGUUUAAUAACAUUGUAUAGGUGCUGAAUCUUGUCCAAUGUCGAGAGUAUAAUAUUGAUAAAGAAGACAUUACAUUUUAUGUUGUUAAAAUUCAUAAGUUAUAGUGAUAAUCCUAGUAGAUAUUGAUAAAACCUCUGAUUAAUGACAGUCUUAACCAUAAGGAUUUUAAUAGUAGCGAAAUUCCUUGGCCGUUAAAUGCGGUCCUGCAUGAAUAGAGUAAUGAUGCUUCAGCUGUCUCAAACAGUAUCUCAGUGAAAUUGAAUUAGCCGUGAAGAUGCGGUUUAGGUGUGGGUAGACGGGAAGACCCUAUGCAGCUUAACUAUAACUAGUUAUCAUUUUUGUUCGAGAGAUCCAAGUAAAGGGUAGUCGUAAGACGUGAGUGUGAGACCCUUAUUGACUCAAUAUCGGUAGUAAUAUUGAUGUAAAGAGCAAAUUUUAGUCCUUAAUCGGAGAAAAUGACUAGCCGGUAGUUUAACUGGGACGGUUUCCUCCAAUAGAGUAUCGGAGGACUUCAAAGGUAUGCUUAAGUUAGAUGGAAACUAAUUUGUUAUGUAGAACGAAAACAAAUGUAAAGGUAUAAGCAUGCUUAACUGCUAGACCGAUAGGUCAAGCAGAUACGUAAGUAGGACUUAGUGAUCCGGUGGUCCUUCAUGGAAAGGCCAUCGCUAAAGAAAUAAAAGUUACGCUAGGGAUAACAGGGUAAUAGCUCUCGAGAGUUCAUAUUGUCAGAGCUGUUUGCCACCUCGAUGUCGACUCACCUUAUCCUCUUGGCGCACAAUCUAAGAAGGGUUCUGCUGUUCGCAGAUUAAAAAGGUACGCGAGUUGGGUUCAAUACGACGUGAGUCAGUAUGGUUCCUAUCUUCCACACCAAUGAACAAUUAAGUUUAGAUGGAUUCUUAGUACGAAAGGACCGGGAUCUGCGUUUCUCUGGUGUACCAAUUGUUGAUUUAAAAAUCGGCACCGUUGGGUAGCUACAAACGUUAAGGAUAAAAGCUGAAAGCAUAUAAGCUAUUGAAGCCUACUAAAGGAAAUUGUAAUGCGUUUUAACGCAAGGUAAGAGAUAGACUAUCUCUUAAUUGGUCACAUGUGUAAACAUCGUAAGAUGUGUUAGCUUAGUGAUACUAAAUAACUUAUUUACUUACAC